CCUACGGGGGGCAGCAGUGGGGAAUAUUGGACAAUGGGCGAAAGCCUGAUCCAGCCAUGCCGCGUGUGUGAAGAAGGCCUUCGGGUUGUAAAGCACUUUCAGUGGGGAAGAAAGCCUUGGGGCUAAUACCCUCGAGGAAGGACAUCACCCACAGAAGAAGCACCGGCUAACUCCGUGCCAGCAGCCGCGGUAAUACGGAGGGUGCGAGCGUUAAUCGGAAUUACUGGGCGUAAAGCGCGCGUAGGCGGUCUGAUAAGCCGGUUGUGAAAGCCCCGGGCUCAACCUGGGAACGGCAUCCGGAACUGUCAGGCUAGAGGGCAGGAGAGGAAGGUAGAGUUCCCGGUGUAGCGGUGAAAGGCGUAGAGAUCGGGAGGAAUACCAGUGGCGAAGGCGGCCUUCUGGACUGACACUGACGCUGAGGUGCGAAAGCGUGGGUAGCAAACAGGAUUAGAUACCCUAGUAGUC
This 465-nucleotide ribosomal RNA is filed under the name Vreelandella stevensii. RNAcentral describes it as "partial 16S ribosomal RNA". It matches the Rfam family "Bacterial small subunit ribosomal RNA", at positions 338 to 795 of the family's 1533-position model. The record is from RNAcentral. Lineage: Bacteria; Pseudomonadati; Pseudomonadota; Gammaproteobacteria; Oceanospirillales; Halomonadaceae.